UACAGGCUUAACACAUGCAAGUCGAGGGGCAGCAUGGUCUUAGCUUGCUAAGGCUGAUGGCGACCGGCGCACGGGUGAGUAACACGUAUCCAACCUGCCGUCUACUCUUGGCCAGCCUUCUGAAAGGAAGAUUAAUCCAGGAUGGGAUCAUGAGUUCACAUGUCCGCAUGAUUAAAGGUAUUUUCCGGUAGACGAUGGGGAUGCGUUCCAUUAGAUAGUAGGCGGGGUAACGGCCCACCUAGUCAACGAUGGAUAGGGGUUCUGAGAGGAAGGUCCCCCACAUUGGAACUGAGACACGGUCCAAACUCCUACGGGAGGCAGCAGUGAGGAAUAUUGGUCAAUGGGCGAUGGCCUGAACCAGCCAAGUAGCGUGAAGGAUGACUGCCCUAUGGGUUGUAAACUUCUUUUAUAAAGGAAUAAAGUCGGGUAUGCAUACCCGUUUGCAUGUACUUUAUGAAUAAGGAUCGGCUAACUCCGUGCCAGCAGCCGCGGUAAUACGGAGGAUCCGAGCGUUAUCCGGAUUUAUUGGGUUUAAAGGGAGCGUAGAUGGAUGUUUAAGUCAGUUGUGAAAGUUUGCGGCUCAACCGUAAAAUUGCAGUUGAUACUGGAUGUCUUGAGUGCAGUUGAGGCAGGCGGAAUUCGUGGUGUAGCGGUGAAAUGCUUAGAUAUCACGAAGAACUCCGAUUGCGAAGGCAGCCUGCUAAGCUGCAACUGACAUUGAGGCUC
RNAcentral lists this ribosomal RNA (726 nucleotides) under uncultured Bacteroidales bacterium. Its description in RNAcentral is "bacterial SSU rRNA". It matches the Rfam family "Bacterial small subunit ribosomal RNA", at positions 41 to 754 of the family's 1533-position model. Lineage: Bacteria; Pseudomonadati; Bacteroidota; Bacteroidia; Bacteroidales. The record is from RNAcentral.